Molecule: transfer RNA, 72 nt
Filed under: Ovis aries (sheep)
Lineage: Eukaryota; Metazoa; Chordata; Mammalia; Artiodactyla; Bovidae
Rfam family: tRNA
About the family: Transfer RNA (tRNA) molecules are approximately 80 nucleotides in length.
Source: Rfam by way of RNAcentral
UCCCUGAUAGCUCAGUUGGUAAAGAAUCUGCUUGCAACGCAGGAGACCCCAGUUUGAUUCCUGGGUUGGGAA